AUGCCCGUUGAAUGCCUCCCAGGUUUCUCAGACCUUUGAACCAGGUACCAAGUGCUACAUGUGCUGGCAACCGGGUCAUUGGGCUAGGAACUGCCCUAACUGGAACAAGCCUCCUCAGAAGCCAUGUGUCCUUUGCAAGCAGACUGGCCACUGGGCUGGCCUCUGUCCUAAGGCCCAAAACCUGGAGGGGAGGCACCCACAGGCCAACGUGCAGCUGAUAAAGGAGGAGGAGGAUUGAAGGCGCCCGGUCCUGACGUCCCAGCAGCAAGAGAUAGCUGUUACUGGUCUGGAACCUAGGGUGAGCAUCAAUGUGGCAGAAAGGUCAGUGAAGUUCCUUUUAGAUACUGGGGCCACCUUCUUUGUCCUUAUUUCCUUCCCUGGCACCCCGCACCUGCUCCAUCCUGGGAGUGUCAGGAAACCCUGUAGUUAAACAUUUUACUGAACCUCUCAGAUGUCUUUGGGAUAACUUCUAUUUUUCUCAUAGCUUCCUAGUGAUCCCUGAAUGUCCAGCUCCUCUCCUAGGCUGAGGCAUCCUGUCCAAGCUGCACACCUGCAUAGUCAUCGGGCCUCAUCCUCGUCCCUCUACAGCUUUCCAAUUGUUUCUCACAGUGGAGGAGCCUCAGAUACACCCACAGGAACCAUGGAAACAGGCCAUAACUCCUGAAGUUUGGGAUACAAGAGUCCCUGGCAAAGCUAAGUAUGCCACCCCUGUAAAGAUUUUCCCAAGGGGCGUUCAGAAGUCACCUUGCCCAACCUGUCCAGCGCAAGGGAUCCUACCCUGGGGAAGACUGGCAGAUGGAUUUUACUCAGGUACCUGCUGUCCAGGGAUUUAAGUAUCUUUUGGUGUUUAUAGACACCUUUACUGGGUGGAUUGAAGCAUAUCCCACCCACACUGAGUGGCUCAUGAAGUGGCUAUAAAACUACUUCAGGAAAUAAUUCCUCGGUUUGGGCUUCCCAAAUCGCUGCAGAGUGAAAAUGAGCCUGCUUUCAUCUCCCAAAUCACUCAAGCAGUCUCCCAACACUUGGGAAUAACCUAUCGUCUCCACUGUGCCAGGAGACCUCAGUCCUCAGGGCAGGUAGAGAGAAUUAAUCAACACCUGAAGCUAACCCUCAGAAAGCUGACACGAGAAACUCAGAUGAGCUGGAAAGAUGCACUACCCAUAGCUCUGCUACGUCUUAGGAUUGCCCCAUGGCAAUCUACGUGUUUGAGCCCCUAUGAAGUUUUAUACGGGCAGCCUUUUCUUAUAACAGAGCCAGCUAUAGACCCUGAGGUAGCCUUAGUACAGCAAUAUGCCACCCAAGUAGCCCAAUGUCAGGAGGCCUUCCAUCAGUUUGGGCUCACUCAGACCCAAGGGGAGGAAAAGUUACCACCCUUGUGCCAGCCAGGAGAUCUAGUUCUUAUAAAAACUUGGAAGGAUGGACCCCUAAUUCCCAGCUCCAGCCAGUCUGGAAGAGACCUUUGCCAGUCAUUCUUUCUACACCCACUGCUGUCAGAGUUCCAGGGCAGAGUGCUCAGAUCCACCAUACCCGAGUAAAACCCUGGAGACCAUCACCAUCUGACCCCUCCGAGGCAGAGGCUGCAAACAAAUACUCCUGUGAGCCGCUGGACGGGCUUAGGAUGGUAUUUCAUCGCCACCCCAGGGCAGAUGAGGGCCACGCUGAUAAUUCUACCUCAGAUCCCCACAGCCUUAGGCCAGUAAAUGCCUUUACCCCAUUCCUGUGUUUACAGUAACCAAACUCUCAUGCCUGUUAGUCCUAAGAUUUCUAUUGAUUUCCUGUGACACUAACCUAACCUAAGGGCACUGCCACCUCACAAUCUUACCCUUGUCUCACUUAAACUGUUCACCUGUUUGUCGCUUGCUUUUCCAGAAGUUCUCAGGUUACCAAGGCCUCUGAACCAAGUGUGCCAGCUCCAGGACCACCAUCUCCUGGACCACAUUGACCUCAUCCAUCCUGGGCCCUAAAUGGACAACCCCUUCUAACAGAGUAGGAAGGACCCUGAAGAGAAGUCAAUGCAUCUGAAUGAUGGUGCACCACUGAUUCCUGAAACAGCAAGCAACUCUGUCUUGGAAGAAGUACACCCAGAAUACUUGCUCCUUAGAGCAGUACGGGGCUGGAGAAUCCCAGAGACACAGCUAGCCAACCCCAGAACAGCACAACGGCCCUAACCACCAAUGAGAAGACGACCCAGAGCUCGGAAGUCCCAGAGACUGAGGCUGGCCAACCCUGGGAACGACAAGACAGACUAAGCUGCCAGCUCACCACAAACAAGCCAAUCAGUGGAAAGCAGGAGGGGCGGGCUGGGGACGCCCCGGCAACAUAAACCCUGUGUAUAUAAGUGAUGGCAUUUUCUUUGUUCCCGGCUCUUGUCCAAGACGCAGUUGGGUACCUGAGGACUCGAGCCCUGGCUUA
Molecule: long non-coding RNA, 2412 nt
Organism: Echinops telfairi (small Madagascar hedgehog)
Lineage: Eukaryota; Metazoa; Chordata; Mammalia; Afrosoricida; Tenrecidae
Exons: 3
Source: RefSeq, a predicted model, not a curated record